RNAcentral lists this ribosomal RNA (237 nucleotides) under uncultured bacterium. RNAcentral's name for it is "partial 16S ribosomal RNA". It matches the Rfam family "Bacterial small subunit ribosomal RNA", at positions 114 to 334 of the family's 1533-position model. The record is from RNAcentral.
CACGUAAACAACCUGCCUUCAGGAUGGGGACAACAGACGGAAACGACUGCUAAUACCGGAUAAGUUCCAAGGGCCGCAUGGCCCAUGGAAGAAAAGGUGGCCUCUACCUGUAAGCUAUCGCCUGAAGAGGGGUUUGCGUCUGAUUAGCUGGUUGGAGGGGUAGCGGCCCACCAAGGCGACGAUCAGUAGCCGGUCUGAGAGGAUGAACGGCCACACUGGAACUGAGACACGGUCCAG